AUUGAACGCUGGCGGCAGGCCUAACACAUGCAAGUCGGACGGUAGCACAGAGGAGCUUGCUCCUUGGGUGACGAGUGGCGGACGGGUGAGUAAUGUCUGGGGAUCUGCCCGAUAGAGGGUGAUAACCACUGGAAACGGUGGCUAAUACCGCAUAACGUCGCAAGACCAAAGAGGGGGACCUUCGGGCCUCUCACUAGCGGAUGAACCCGGAUGGGAUUAGCUAGUAGGCGGGGUAAUGGCCCACCUAGGCGACGAUCCCUAGCUGGUCUGAGAGGAGGACGAGCCAAGCUGGAACUGAGACAAGGUACAGACUACUACGGUAGGAAGCAGUGGGGAAUGUUGCACUAUGUGCGCAAGCCUGAUGCAGCCAUGCCGCGUGUAUGAAGAAGGCAUUCGGGUUGUAAAGUACUUUCAGCGGGGAGGAAGGCGGUGAGGUUAAUAACCUCGCCGAUUGACGUUACCCGCAGAAGAAGCACCGGCUAACUCCGUGCCAGCCGCCGCCGUAA
RNAcentral lists this ribosomal RNA (506 nucleotides) under uncultured bacterium. Its description in RNAcentral is "partial 16S ribosomal RNA". It matches the Rfam family "Bacterial small subunit ribosomal RNA", at positions 29 to 523 of the family's 1533-position model. The record is from RNAcentral.